Molecule: ribosomal RNA, 253 nt
Filed under: uncultured bacterium
Lineage: Bacteria
Description: partial 16S ribosomal RNA
Rfam family: Bacterial small subunit ribosomal RNA
Source: RNAcentral
UACGUAGGUGGCAAGCGUUGUCCGGAUUUACUGGGCGUAAAGAGCGCGCAGGCGGUCGUUCAAGUCGCGUGUGAAAGCCCCCGGCUCAACUGGGGAGGGUCACGCGAUACUGAUCGACUCGAAGGCAGGAGAGGGUAGUGGAAUUCCCGGUGUAGUGGUGAAAUGCGUAGAUAUCGGGAGGAACACCAGUGGCGAAGGCGACUACCUGGCCUGUUCUUGACGCUGAGGCACGAAAGCGUGGGUAGCAAACAGG